CCCGGCCCGUUCCACCAGCGGGGCCCGCCCCCUCAGCCUGCAAACUCUACCCAGGUGUUUCCCUUGUCCCAGUGCCCCUCGUGCCCUGGGCGGAUUCCCUCUCUCCCGCUCCCGCAACCCGGCUUCCCUGCUGAGGGGCUUGGGUCUCUCCCUCCAGAAAAGAGGAGCCGGAGGAGGACCUGAAAGCAGGGGUGUCGUUUUCAGACCUGCGUGUUAGGAAGGUCCCGGUGGCUCCUGCGAGGAGGAGGGACUGUAGCGGCUGGAACUGGAGCUGAGGACGAAGUUCCGAGGCUGUCGGUACAUGGCAGGUGCCUGCGGGACACGGCCCACCUGAAGCUUAGGCUCCAACGACGGUGGAGUCGCAAGAAUGUAGUGGAAGCUGACGCCAUGAGGCAUAAACAUCUCAUGAAACAACCCAACUUCAGACGUUUUUCAUAGUGUCCCUUUACCCAGCAGUGGCGAUGGAUCAGAAGGGUAUGGACAAGCUUUCUUGGGUUUUUGGUGCUCCUUGUCAUGUCCUAACCAGAGACCUGGGCAGCCAGAGGCAGGAAACCCAGAAUGGAGAUGAUGCUUUCUAUGCUGCUAUGCCCAUCAAUGAAAUAAAUAAUGUAGAAAAGAGAACCCUGCUUAUACUUAGCUCUGCAUCUAUAAAUAAAACUCUAUAAAUUGUUCUUUA
Myotis myotis is the source of this 676-nucleotide long non-coding RNA. RefSeq lists it as uncharacterized. Lineage: Eukaryota; Metazoa; Chordata; Mammalia; Chiroptera; Vespertilionidae. The transcript is spliced from 3 exons. The record is from RefSeq and is a predicted model, not a curated record.